This 761-nucleotide ribosomal RNA is filed under the name Prevotella melaninogenica. RNAcentral describes it as "bacterial SSU rRNA". It matches the Rfam family "Bacterial small subunit ribosomal RNA", at positions 28 to 776 of the family's 1533-position model. The record is from RNAcentral. Lineage: Bacteria; Pseudomonadati; Bacteroidota; Bacteroidia; Bacteroidales; Prevotellaceae.
GAUGAGCGCUAGCUACAGGCUUAACACAUGCAAGUCGAGGGGAAACGGCAUUAAGUGCUUGCACUUUUUGGACGUCGACCGGCGCACGGGUGAGUAACGCGUAUCCAACCUUCCCAUGACUAAGGGAUAACCUGCCGAAAGGCAGACUAAUACCUUAUGGUCUUCACUGACGGCAUCAGAUGUGAAGUAAAGAUUUAUCGGUUAUGGAUGGGGAUGCGUCUGAUUAGCUUGUUGGCGGGGUAACGGCCCACCAAGGCAACGAUCAGUAGGGGUUCUGAGAGGAAGGUCCCCCACAUUGGAACUGAGACACGGUCCAAACUCCUACGGGAGGCAGCAGUGAGGAAUAUUGGUCAAUGGGCGAGAGCCUGAACCAGCCAAGUAGCGUGCAGGAUGACGGCCCUAUGGGUUGUAAACUGCUUUUGUAUGGGGAUAAAGUCAAUCACGUGUGAUUGUUUGCAGGUACCAUACGAAUAAGGACCGGCUAAUUCCGUGCCAGCAGCCGCGGUAAUACGGAAGGUCCGGGCGUUAUCCGGAUUUAUUGGGUUUAAAGGGAGCGUAGGCUGGAGAUUAAGUGUGUUGUGAAAUGUAGGCGCUCAACGUCUGACUUGCAGCGCAUACUGGUUUCCUUGAGUACGCACAACGUUGGCGGAAUUCGUCGUGUAGCGGUGAAAUGCUUAGAUAUGACGAAGAACUCCGAUUGCGAGGGCAGCUGACGGGAGCGCAACUGACGCUGAAGCUCGAAGGUGCGGGUAUCGAACAGG